Molecule: long non-coding RNA, 1150 nt
Organism: Esox lucius (northern pike)
Lineage: Eukaryota; Metazoa; Chordata; Actinopteri; Esociformes; Esocidae
Source: Ensembl
GUCUCUACAUCCUCUAAAAUAACUCAACCUACGAGGUCUCUACAUCCUCUAAAAUAACUCAACCUACGAGGUCUCUACAACUCAACCUACGAGGUCUCUACAUCCACUAUAACAACUCAACCUACAAGGUCUCUACAUCCACUAUAACAACUCAACCUACGAGGACCCUACAUCCUUUAUAACAACUCCUACCCUACAGCGUCUCUACAUUCUCUAUAUGGAUUCUUAAGCUACACCAGGGCUAAUUUAAAUUAAGUCCUGGAGGCCUGAAACACUUCUGGCUUUGACCCUCUUUUUGACAUGUUCUACUGAAAGGGGACUACUAGGGUAAUCUGCUACUAUUAAACAUGUUCUACUGAUCAGUGUUCUAUUGAAGAGUGUCCUAGUGUUCUGUUAAAGAAUAUUCCAAUGUUCUGAUUGUUCCGUUUAAAGAUGUCAUCAUUAGCUCUGUUGUAACUUGCCGCUAAAAUGUGUUCUGAUAUUGUCCGCAUUCUGUUUUGGCCCAGAUUUUAAAACAGAGCGUCAUUUAAAUAAUUUUUACAUUCUGGAAUGUUUAACUGAACGAAAAACUGUAAAAAAAACAGGGAGAAAACAUUCCAUCAAAGUCCCUUUUAGAAACCAAUAGGGAAACAAGUGUUUCAGUACGGUUAUGAGUUCAGAGGGACUAUCCACAAUGAGUUAUUGCUUCUGACAGCAGUUUUGCAGAAUGCACAUUGAUGGUAAACAAGACAUAUUAAUGCUCAAGCAGAUGUUGCCUUUAAAAGCUGUGAUGCCUAUAACCUAUGACUAGGGUGAAUCCCAGCCUUAAAUGGAUGUUAAUAUUUUAUCACAAAAAAAUGUUGGACAAGAUCAGGAUGCAUGCUAGCUCCAGGUAUAAACAUGGCCCGUAGUGUUAUGCAGCCUCCAGUUAAAGCUCAUUUCCUUACUGUACAUCUAUCAACAACAUUAUCACAGACCUUUUACUGUAUGUUCAUCUAUUGAAUACAUUAUCACUGACCUUUUGAUUGUGCUCAAUUGUUUGUACCAGUCUGUAUUUUGUACAGCUUGAUGCCGUUGUUCUCACGUCCAAUAACUUUUCAAUAUUUAUAACCUUAGAACCAGGAUUACUGAAUAAUGAUAUGAAUAAAUGUUUGACAGGAAAUGAGAAGGC